Molecule: ribosomal RNA, 443 nt
Filed under: uncultured bacterium
Lineage: Bacteria
Description: partial 16S ribosomal RNA
Rfam family: Bacterial small subunit ribosomal RNA
Source: RNAcentral
CCUACGGGGGGCAGCAGUGGGGAAUAUUGGACAAUGGGGGGAACCCUGAUCCAGCGACGCCCCGUGAGUGAAGAAGUAUUUCGGUAUGUAAAGCUCUAUCAGCAGGGAAGAAAGGAAUGACGGUACCUGACUAAGAAGCCCCGGCUAACUACGUGCCAGCAGCCGCGUUAAUACGUAGGGGGCAAGCGUUAUCCGGAUUUACUGGGUGUAAAGGGAGCGUAGACGGUUACGCAAGUCUGGAGUGAAAGGCGGGGGCCCAACCCCCGGACUGCUUUGGAAACUGGAUAACGGGAGUGCAGGAGAGGUAAGUGGAAUUCCUAGUGUAGCGGUGAAAUGCGUAGAUAUUAGGAGGAACACCAGUGGCGAAGGCGGCUUACUGGACUGUAACUGACGUUGAGGCUCGAAAGCGUGGGGAGCAAACAGGAUUAGAUACCCGAGUAGUC